GGACAUUUCUCUGCUCGCGUUUCUUCUCCCCUACACGCCCGACUCCCCCAAAUCCCUUCUCGCGACUUCUUCCAAUCCGGCGACGGCAGCGACGGCGACGACCUCUGUUGAGCGGCUACGUUAUCUUCUCAGUGUCCUCUGCCAGCGGAGUGGUUUUGCUUCAAGCGGCGAGGUCCCAGCAAUUCUAUUUCAAGCGGUGACGACGGGGAGAACAAGCCCUAGUGACCGGAGUGGUUCUUCUCCGGUGAGGUCUUCCCCUCUCCGUCCCUACCUCUGGCGAAGCUCCCUGCCGACGUGAUUGCGAAUGCAAGGAGAUCUCAACAGAGGACGCCGGCUUCAUUCUUCUUCUCCGGUGAGCUUGUUCUGAACCCUACUGACUGUUGCGGAGGAUUUUCUGUGGACGGGGUUCCGAAAGCAGAAGUCUCCUCCAUCUCAGUGCACAUUCCAACUCCGGCAAAAGCAUUUCAAAUUCCGGCAGAGCAGUGAGCACCUUCUUCUUGAUUCCAGCCAUUCAUCUUCUCCAGUGAUCUUCUUCUCAAACUUCAUCACUGAGUGUUGCUGUGGCUUCUGUGGACGGCGUUGCGAAUGCUGGCAUGAUCCCAGCAACUUCAGACUUCAAUUCUGUUAAGUAAUAUGGAGAACAAUACUAAAAAGACUCGCAGAGAGCUUUGAGCACCAGACUUAUCAGAUGAUUCUUUUUGCAUCAGAUAUUUUGAUUUGAAAGCAGACUUUGAGUUAUGGCAGAUUAUUCAUUUAUUACCGAAGUUUCAUGGACUAUCUGAUGAAAAUCCCAAUAGAUAUAUACAAAAAUUGGAUAUGGUAUGUUCUUCAUGGAACCCACAUGGUGUAUCAGGAGAUGAUGUUAGACUUAGAGCAUUUUCAUUCUAACUGGUGGAUUUAGUAAAAGAUUGGUUGUAUUGUCUCCCACCCGACUCUAUCACCAGCUGGAUUGAGAUGAAGAAAUUAUUUCUGGCGACGUUCUUUCCUGCUUCUAGGAUUGUAGCUAUUCGGAGGAGUAUUUGUGGAGUCCAAUAAUUCAUAGGAGAACAAUUUCAACAAUAUUGGGAAAGAUUUAAAGGACUUGUUGCUAGUUUCCCUCAGCACUAAAUAAGUGAUCAGUUACUGAUUAUAUACUUCUAUGAGGGAUUGCUUCCCAUGAACAGGAGUAUGGUUGAUGCAGCUAGUGGAGGAGCUCUAGUUAACAAAACAUCUACUCAGGAUUCACGUAUGGGAACACAUAACAAGGGACUUUUGAGUAACUCCAGUUUUAUCAGCCUUACUUUCAGCACCAUCAGCCUGAGCAACAUUUUACGGAGUAGUCACAACAAUCUUGGCAACAAUAAGAAAUACAGUUCCAGGAAAAAACACAUUCAUCAACACAGUUACAAUUGUUAUUAGAUCAACUUACUCCAUCAAUUUCUGAGGAGAUGAAUUGUAGAGUUUGUGAUAUUUCUGACUUUGAUUUUGCUACUCUAUAUGACUCUUCUAAUUUUUUAUAUUGUGAUGUUAUAGUUGAUUCUGAUAAUAUUUUUGUUGAUGAUAUUGUUGUUCCAGAUAUUCUUGAUGUUGCAGGUGUUUUGAUGUUGGAAUUGUAGGGGAGGCCCAAGAAUCGUUACCACCUGAGCUAGUUGAGUCUGCAGUUGUACUUAGUGACGGUGGAAUUGUAGGGGAGAUCUAAGAAUCACUUCCGUUGAUUGUACCUGAUCUAGAGCUAGUUCUUUUACCUAUUCAAAAGAAUACCGCAUUCACUGUUCUAGAGCUUCUAGGUACUUUUCAGUAUGGUAAGGUGGAUAUUUCUUUAGAAUUCUUAGAAAAGUCCAUGGAGGUAAUUGUUCUAAUUCUAUUGAAUGUGACAUAUCUUUUGAUUCUUGCUUUGUUGAUAUUGAUAUUAUUUCUAGUUCAUCUCACAUAAUAUAUGUGCAGGAAUUGCAUCUUCUUUUUAGUGCACAAGAUUUCUACAGACAUUUCAUUUGCAGUCAAUCACGCAAGGAUGCAUUCUACCACUUGAAGAAAGCCCUAACACUUUAUGCAAUAAUGAAGUUUCUGAAGUGGGCACUCCAAUUGAACUAUUUUUGACCACCAGAGAAAAUUUUUGAGAAGACGAUAGCGAAGGGAGUGACUCUCACUUCGCCUGCAAUUGAAUUAUACCCUCACUUCCAAUUAUCUAUCGAUUGCUUCAAGCACAAACCAGGUUUUAUUGCUCUUUUACUAUUAUUUUCACUACUUGUCUUUAUUACAUUGCUACUUGCUAGCUUUGUUGCUAGUUUUGUGUGUUUUAUUUUUACACUUGAAAUUUGUAUUA
Molecule: long non-coding RNA, 2302 nt
Organism: Zingiber officinale
Lineage: Eukaryota; Viridiplantae; Streptophyta; Magnoliopsida; Zingiberales; Zingiberaceae
Exons: 2
Source: RefSeq, a predicted model, not a curated record